RNAcentral lists this ribosomal RNA (253 nucleotides) under uncultured bacterium. RNAcentral's name for it is "partial 16S ribosomal RNA". It matches the Rfam family "Bacterial small subunit ribosomal RNA", at positions 524 to 776 of the family's 1533-position model. The record is from RNAcentral.
UACGGAGGGUGCAAACGUUGCUCGGAAUCAUUGGGCGUAAAGCGCACGUAGGCGGGCUGUUAAGUCGGAUGUGAAAUCCCUCGGCUUAACCGAGGAAGUGCAUUCGAAACUGGCAGCCUUGAGUACAGAAGAGGGUCGCGGAAUUCCCGGUGUAGAGGUGAAAUUCGUAGAUAUCGGGAGGAACACCAGUGGCGAAGGCGGCGACCUGGGCUGAUACUGACGCUGAGGUGCGAAAGCGUGGGGAGCAAACAGG